RNAcentral lists this ribosomal RNA (464 nucleotides) under uncultured bacterium. Its description in RNAcentral is "partial 16S ribosomal RNA". It matches the Rfam family "Bacterial small subunit ribosomal RNA", at positions 338 to 795 of the family's 1533-position model. The record is from RNAcentral.
CCUACGGGAGGCUGCAGUAGGGAAUUUUCGUCAAUGGGCGCAAGCCUGAACGAGCAAUGCCGCGUGAACGAGGAAGGUCUUCGGAUCGUAAAGUUCUGUUGAAGGGGAAAAAGAGCGGAGAGAGGAAAUGGUCUCCGAUUGAUAUUACCCUUCGAGGAAGUCACGGCUAACUACUUGCCAGCAGCCGCGGUAAUACGUGGGUGGCGAUCGUUAUCCGGAAUGAUUGGGCGAAAAGGGUGCGUAGGCGGCCUGCUAAGUCUGGAGUGAAGGGUACGGGCUCAACCGGUACAGGCUCUGGAAACUGGCGGGCUAGAGAGCAGGAGAGGGCGGUGGAACUCCAUGUGUAGCGGUAAAAUGCGUAGAUAUAUGGAAGAACACCAGUGGCGAAGGCGGCCGCCUGGCCUGUUACUGACGCUGAGGCACGAAAGCGUGGGGAGCAAAUAGGAUUAGAUACCCUUGUAGUC